CACGCCGUAAACGAUGAGUACUAAGUGUUGGAUGUCAAAGUUCAGUGCUGCAGUUAACGCAAUAAGUACUCCGCCUGAGUAGUACGUUCGCAAGAAUGAAACUCAAAGGAAUUGACGGGGGCCCGCACAAGCGGUGGAGCAUGUGGUUUAAUUCGAAGCAACGCGAAGAACCUUACCAGGUCUUGACAUACUCAUAAAGGCUCCAGAGAUGGAGAGAUAGCUAUAUGAGAUACAGGUGGUGCAUGGUUGUCGUCAGCUCGUGUCGUGAGAUGUUGGGUUAAGUCCCGCAACGAGCGCAACCCUUAUCGUUAGUUACCAUCAUUAAGUUGGGGACUCUAGCGAGACUGCCAGUGACAAGCUGGAGGAAGGCGGGGAUGACGUCAAAUCAUCAUGCCCCUUAUGACCUGGGCUACACACGUGCUACAAUGGAUGGUACAGAGGGAAGCGAAGCCGCGAGGUGAAGCAAAACCCAUAAAACCAUUCUCAGUUCGGAUUGUAGUCUGCAACUCGACUACAUGAAGUUGGAAUCGCUAGUAAUCGCGAAUCAGCAUGUCGCGGUGAAUACGUUCUCGGGCCUUGUACACACCGCCCGUC
Molecule: ribosomal RNA, 594 nt
Filed under: uncultured bacterium
Lineage: Bacteria
Description: bacterial SSU rRNA
Rfam family: Bacterial small subunit ribosomal RNA
Source: RNAcentral